AUUUAAAUAGCUUAAAUUUAAAGUAUAAUAUUGAAGAUAUUAUGAUGGAUUGAUUUAUCCUUUAAAUA
RNAcentral lists this transfer RNA (68 nucleotides) under Chauliops fallax. Its description in RNAcentral is "tRNA-Phe". Lineage: Eukaryota; Metazoa; Arthropoda; Insecta; Hemiptera; Malcidae. The record is from RNAcentral.